GUUCCAAGUAAAUUUGCAUGUGCCAUUCUCUAAACCUUCAAGAAAUUAUCUGUAUUGCAUGCCCGAACCGCUCAUGUGGUGACAGGGGCUAUUGGUAUCUUCCAUGUUAGGCGUGUUAUCCUCGACAUGUGUUUAUUCACUGUCAUUCACGAGAAAGGGGCCGGUAAUUGGAAUGCCUAGUUCCACGCUUAAAUCGAAAACAUAACUGUAAAACAAGACUCCCCCUGGAUUGAUGUUAGUAUGGACGGUACCCGAGGAUUCGGCUAGCCGUGGAGUGUGAUUGAUUGGUGGUGGGGGAGUUAAAACUUUACUUUUCUGUUUGGGAACCGCCUAUAGUAUGAGUAGCG
Molecule: long non-coding RNA, 347 nt
Filed under: Hordeum vulgare
Lineage: Eukaryota; Viridiplantae; Streptophyta; Magnoliopsida; Poales; Poaceae
Description: long non-coding RNA (HVUL_LNC010015)
Source: RNAcentral